AGAAUAUUUAGUUAGUAUCUACCCUUAAUGGGUUUAUAAAAUGCGGAGGAUUAGUUAUUGGAUUCGCUAUAAUAAUUUUUUUAUUUUAUUUCAUUUUCACCUUUUCUUUCUCUCUCAAUGCUCUCCCUCUCUAGAAGAAAAUAUGAACAUUUAUCAUCUUUUUCAGAAUCCAACCGGUAGCCAUUGUCCGACACCAUACUGGCCGUCGUAUGCCGCUGCUAGCUGAUGUCCUUUCCUUCUCAAGUUUUUAGAUUUGAUUAAUUUCUACCUCUUUUUUUUCAUUUCUUUUUAUCGGGUUUCUCUAAAUCAAAACUUUCAAGGCUGAUUUCGUCAUCUUCCGCCGCUCCAACAACCACGUUUUUCCUUUGUUCUCCCCUCUCCAAGUUACAAGCCCCAAAACCCCAUUUUCUAUUUCUUCUUAAAAUCUCUUUUUCUCCAUCUGUUCUUAUUUUGUUACGAUAGAUGAUAUGACUUUUACUGGAGAAGUUGUGAUAAGAGAUGAACAGUGAUUUCAUGAAAUGAGUGAUUCGGUCAGCCAAACAUUGAAUCAGCCUGAAAUGGUCUGACUAUUCAUGCCAACCAAACAUUCUCUAACAACAUUAGAUAAGAGAACUUACCAUUCAUGCCAACCAAACAUGCUCUACGAACAUUAGAUAAGAGAACCAAGUUGCAAGGUUGAAGAAAUAUUUCAUAAAAAUACACAAAUUUAUAUUAGAUUCUUAUCUGAAAAAGAAAGAUUAAAUUUU
This 746-nucleotide long non-coding RNA is filed under the name Gossypium barbadense (sea-island cotton). RNAcentral's name for it is "long non-coding RNA (GBAR_LNC017426)". Lineage: Eukaryota; Viridiplantae; Streptophyta; Magnoliopsida; Malvales; Malvaceae. The record is from RNAcentral.